RNAcentral lists this ribosomal RNA (513 nucleotides) under uncultured bacterium. RNAcentral describes it as "partial 16S ribosomal RNA". It matches the Rfam family "Bacterial small subunit ribosomal RNA", at positions 28 to 523 of the family's 1533-position model. The record is from RNAcentral.
GACGAACGCUGGCGGCAUGCCUAAUACAUGCAAGUCGAGCGAACAGAUGAAGUGCUUGCACUCCUGACGUUAGCGGCGAACGGGUGAGUAACACGUAAGGAAUCUACCUAUAAGCGGGGGAUAACAUUCGGAAACGGGUGCUAAUACCGCAUAAUAUCUUCUUCCGCAUGGAAGAAGAUUGAAAGACGGCUCUGCUGUCACUUAUAGAUGACCUUGCGGUGCAUUAGUUAGUUGGUGGGGUAACGGCCUACCAAGACGAUGAUGCAUAGCCGACCCGAGAGGGUGAUCGGCCACAUUGGGACUGAGACACGGCCCAAACUCCUACGGGAGGCAGCAGUAGGGAAUCUUCCGCAAUGGGCGAAAGCCUGACGGAGCAAUGCCGCGUGAGUGAAGAAGGCCUUCGGGUCGUAAAACUCUGUUAUAAGAGAAGAACAAAUUGUAGAGUAACUGCUACAGUCUUGACGGUAUCUUAUCAGAAAGCCACGGCUAACUACGUGCCAGCAGCCGCGGUAA